RNAcentral lists this ribosomal RNA (484 nucleotides) under uncultured bacterium. RNAcentral describes it as "partial 16S ribosomal RNA". It matches the Rfam family "Bacterial small subunit ribosomal RNA", at positions 29 to 507 of the family's 1533-position model. The record is from RNAcentral.
AUUGAACGCUGGCGGCAUGCUUUACACAUGCAAGUCGAACGGCAGCGCGGGCUUCGGCCUGGCGGCGAGUGGCGAACGGGUGAGUCAUGCAUCGGAACGUGCCCAGACGUGGGGGAUAGACCGGCGAAAGCCGGAUUAAUACCGCAUACGACCUGAGGGUGAAAGCGGGGGACCGCAAGGCCUCUCGCUAUUGGAGCGGCCGAUGUCGGAUUAGAUAGGUGGUGGGGUAAAGGCUUACCAAGGCGACGAUCCGUAGCUGGUCUGAGAGGACGACCAGCCACACUGGGACUGAGACACGGCCCAGACUCCGACAGGAGGCAGCAGUGGGGAAUUUUACGGGAGGGGGCCAACCCUGAUCCAGCAAUGCCGCCGGAGGGAUGAAGGCCUUCGGGUUGGAAACCGCUGUUGUUCGGGAAGAAGUCAUGUGGUCUUAUACCCCAGGGUAAUGACGGUACCGGAAGAAUAAGCACCGGCUAACUACGUG